Homo sapiens (human) is the source of this 1218-nucleotide long non-coding RNA. RefSeq lists it as uncharacterized. Lineage: Eukaryota; Metazoa; Chordata; Mammalia; Primates; Hominidae. The record is from RefSeq and is marked validated. The transcript is spliced from 3 exons.
UGCCCCUCCAGCUCCGGAGGGGAGCGAGGAGGGGGCGGGGCGCGCCUCGAGAGUGACAGGCCCGGCUGCCCUAUCAAAGAGCCCCUUGGGAGCUGCGAGCCGCAACCAUUGGCGCCUGGGGCGUGGGCGGGACGGCAGUAGGUGGGGCCGCCGAGUGGGUUGAGCGUUACUGUGGCAGCGGGCAUCCCAGGGUGCGUGCGGUGCAGGGUGUGCAAGAAAAUGCGAGGUUGGAGGAGGAGCUUUAAAUGGAUUUGGACUCCUCAGGAGGAUUUGCUAAUGGUCUGAACAAGUGAAUAGAGCACUGCAAAAGAUUUGUAUACUAUUCCCGUUUUGAUCUUUUCUGCCAAUCUCUACCAAGAACUUGAUUAAAGAUCUGAGACGCUGUCCCUGGCCUACCCAAGUUUUAAUCUUCUCUUAAAUGUCAACUCAACAACAACACAUAUGGCAAGGGUAAAAACCCUCAAUGUAGAGUUUUUACAAAUCAACAAGAAAAUAAAGAUGAACGUUCGAACUGAAAAAUAUGUGCAACAGAAACAAAACCCAAAAUGGCCAGUAAAUGUGAUAGGAGGUUCAACAGGAAAAUGGAUAUCCAUACCCUACUAGUGGAAUUUUUAAUUGGUACAACAUUGCUGGAAGGCAGUUUAAUAGCAUUUGUGAAAAGCCUUUUAAAAAAAUGUAUACAUUUGACUUAGCAAUUUUACUUCUGGGAAAGAAUGGAACAAAUUUGCAAAUACACAAACACAAGCGCACAUAUCAUGGGAAUAAUUGGAACAUUGUUUAUAAUAGUGAAACACUGAGAAAAGUUCAUUGAUAAGGGAUUUGGUGUGUAAAUUAUGUUAUAUCUAUAAUAGAAUACUAUAUAGCCAUAAAAUUAUAACAUUGCCAUUUAUUUAUUUAUUUGUGUGGAAAGAUGUUCACAACAAAUUAAAAUUAAGAAGAGCUAAUAAAUUAGUAUUGUGUUUGUAUGUGUACAUAUGUAUGUUUAUAUAUAUGUAUUAAUACACAUAUAUUUCCAUUAUUUUUAAACUUAUUUAUAUGUGUAAAUUUUCAUAGAAAGCAAUACAUACACAAAAAUUUUAAUGAUCAUUUCCUCCAAGUAAUCAUAUUUUAGGUCAUUGUUAUUUUAUUUUUUAUCUUUUUCUUAAUUUCCUCAACUUUUUACAUUGGGCAUUUAUUAUGUUAUUAGAAAAAACAAUAAAAACUUAUUUUAAACUUGUA